This 253-nucleotide unclassified non-coding RNA is filed under the name uncultured Legionellaceae bacterium. RNAcentral's name for it is "contains 16S-23S intergenic spacer region". It matches the Rfam family "Bacterial small subunit ribosomal RNA", at positions 524 to 776 of the family's 1533-position model. The record is from RNAcentral. Lineage: Bacteria; Pseudomonadati; Pseudomonadota; Gammaproteobacteria; Legionellales; Legionellaceae.
UACGGAGGGUGCAAGCGUUAAUCGGAAUUACUGGGCGUAAAGGGUGCGUAGGUGGUUUAAUAAGUUAUGUGUAAAAGCCCAGGGCUCAACCUUGGAAGGUCAGAUAAGACUGUUAAACUUGAGUAUGGGAGAGGGUAGUGGAAUUUCCGGUGUAGCGGUGAAAUGCGUAGAGAUCGGAAGGAACACCAGUGGCGAAGGCGGCUACCUGGCCUACUACUGACACUGAAGCACGAAAGCGUGGGGAGCAAACAGG